This 241-nucleotide unclassified non-coding RNA is filed under the name Hevea brasiliensis (rubber tree). The record is from RNAcentral. Lineage: Eukaryota; Viridiplantae; Streptophyta; Magnoliopsida; Malpighiales; Euphorbiaceae.
UGUUGGCUUAUAAACCCUAACUUUUUUUUUCCCUGUGCCUGGACCCCAUGGGGCGUGCCUUUCUGCGCCUCGCGCCUCAGUGAAGUGCCAUGCCUCUCCUUCCAUCAGGCAACAUCACCUGCGCCUGAGGCGCGCCUUUGAUAACAGUGGAUGCAAUGCUAAAAAAGAUGAUGCAUGAUAAUAUGCCACUUGCUUAAUGACAAGACUACUAUGCACUUGCCUGAAAAUAGGGAAGCAAUGC